Danio aesculapii is the source of this 1070-nucleotide long non-coding RNA. RefSeq lists it as uncharacterized. NCBI's taxonomy places the organism in Eukaryota, Metazoa, Chordata, Actinopteri, Cypriniformes, Danionidae. The record is from RefSeq and is a predicted model, not a curated record. The transcript is spliced from 3 exons.
AAUGGGCAAGGAUAAGCAAACUCUUGCUCUCACCCUAGCAACCAUCCUCUGAACCACUUUACAACCUCAAUGCAUUGUUCUUCCAACCACUUUGAACAAAUUAGUAAAACCGUAACAACAUCCUGGCGUCAUGGCAAAGAAAAGCACUCAGAUUUUCUUCAAAGAAUGUACUAAUUUUGUUCUUAUUCUUUAUUAUUUAAUAUUGUUUGGCAGGAGAAACUGAGUGUGGAGAGAGAGAGAGAAAAAGAGAGACUCUUUCUCUUCCCGGGUGUGAGAUGCAUGCUGACUACACACUGCAGUAGUGAGGUCAGAUCCUCUUCAUCGUAAUGAGACAUUCUGAGAACAGGAAACUGCAGAGCACAUCCCCACACUUUUACCAGUGUACAGACAACAUUCAUUCCCACAAUGCAUUCUAGGGUAGACUGGAGUUAGUCAUAUGUGGAAGUUGGUUACACAAGAAGGUUGAUCACAGCAGGACUGUAUCUUGGCACCAAACACUCCAAUCAAUGGUAUUGAUCAUCCCUCGGCAGACUCGACCUGUCUGAAGAAUCUAUCUUCAGGUGUCAGCGGAGAAAAAUUUAUGAACUUUAAAUCUACUUCACUGCUCACACACUGAUCAUUUGAGCGCUGCUGGAUUGUACCGCUCUGUCAUGAACUGGAAUAAUAUAUCUUAACUAGAUUCUUAUCUGGAGUAACUGACACAAAAUCACUGCAGACACUGAAUUCUCGACAGAGGACUGUAUCAUACAGAUCUGACACGUGAAAGGAAUGUAUGUUAUUACAGCAUGUUUACGCGUAAUGAUGAAUAAUAUAAAUAGGGAAAUAGGAAGUGCAUGAGAUCCUUUCAGAAAUUCACUUUUAGAAGUAAACUUUGCCGUCACUCUGCUUGCUUGUCUUUAUGGCUUGACACCAUUGUUGUUCUUAUCAAUGGCCUUUCCUCUGGUCUGCAUGCUCUCUAUUGAUCAGACUGACAGAAAAAUGGCUAGUAUCGGGGACUAGAUCUCUUUUAAUUCCGCUGCACCGCUGAGCAUUUGUUUAAACUGACAAAUUGUUUGUGUGUUUAUUUUGUC